RNAcentral lists this ribosomal RNA (495 nucleotides) under uncultured bacterium. RNAcentral describes it as "partial 16S ribosomal RNA". It matches the Rfam family "Bacterial small subunit ribosomal RNA", at positions 28 to 507 of the family's 1533-position model. The record is from RNAcentral.
GACGAACGCUGGCGGCGUGCCUAAUACAUGCAAGUAGAACGCUGAAGGAGGAGCUUGCUUCUCUGGAUGAGUUGCGAACGGGUGAGUAACGCGUAGGUAACCUGCCUGGUAGCGGGGGAUAACUAUUGGAAACGAUAGCUAAUACCGCAUAAUAGCAGUUAUUGCAUGAUAACUGUUUGAAAGGUGCAAUUGCACCACUACCAGAUGGACCUGCGUUGUAUUAGCUAGUUGGUGGGGUAACGGCUCACCAAGGCGACGAUACAUAGCCGACCUGAGAGGGUGAUCGGCCACACUGGGACUGAGACACGGCCCAGACUCCUACGGGAGGCAGCAGUAGGGAAUCUUCGGCAAUGGACGGAAGUCUGACCGAGCAACGCCGCGUGAGUGCAGAAGGUUUUCGGAUCGUAAAGCUCUGUUGUAAGAGAAGAACGAGUGUGAGAGUGGAAAGUUCACACUGUGACGGUAUCUUACCAGAAAGGGACGGCUAACUACGUG